This 497-nucleotide ribosomal RNA is filed under the name uncultured bacterium. Its description in RNAcentral is "partial 16S ribosomal RNA". It matches the Rfam family "Bacterial small subunit ribosomal RNA", at positions 28 to 507 of the family's 1533-position model. The record is from RNAcentral.
GACGAACGCUGGCGGCGUGCCUAAUACAUGCAAGUUGAGCGCUGAAGGUUGGUACUUGUACCAACUGGAUGAGCAGCGCACGGGUGAGUAACGCGUGGGGAAUCUGCCUUUGAGCGGGGGACAACAUUUGGAAACGAAUGCUAAUACCGCAUAAAAACUUUAAACACAAGUUUUAAGUUUGAAAGAUGCAAUUGCAUCACUCAAAGAUGAUCCCGCGUUGUAUUAGCUAGUUGGUGAGGUAAAGGCUCACCAAGGCGAUGAUACAUAGCCGACCUGAGAGGGUGAUCGGCCACAUUGGGACUGAGACACGGCCCAAACUCCUACGGGAGGCAGCAGUAGGGAAUCGUCGGCAAGGGACGAAAGUCUGACCGAGCAACGCCGCGGGAGGGAAGAAGGUUGUCGGAUCGUAAAACUCGGUUGGUAGAGAAGAACGUUGGUGAGAGUGGAAAGCUCAUCAAGUGACGGUAACUACCCAGAAAGGGACGGCUAACUACGUG